This 433-nucleotide ribosomal RNA is filed under the name uncultured bacterium. Its description in RNAcentral is "partial 16S ribosomal RNA". It matches the Rfam family "Bacterial small subunit ribosomal RNA", at positions 29 to 507 of the family's 1533-position model. The record is from RNAcentral.
AACGAACGCUGGCGGCAUGCCUAACACAUGCCAGUCGAACGAGACCUCCGGGUCUAGUGGCGCACGGGUGCGUAACGCGUGGGAACCUGCCCGUAGGUUCGGAAUAACUCCCCGAAAGGGGUGCUAAUACCGGAUAAUGUCUUCGGACCAAAGAUUUAUCGCCUUUGGAUGGGCCCGCGUUGGAUUAGCUGGUUGGUAGGGUAAAAGCCUACCAAGGCGACGAUCCAUAGCUGGUCUGAGAGGAUGAUCAGCCACACUGGGACUGAGACACGGCCCAGACUCCUACGGGAGGCAGCAGUGGGGAAUAUUGGACAAUGGGCGAAAGCCUGAUCCAGCAAUGCCGCGUGAGUGAUGAAGGCCUUAGGGUUGUAAAGCUCUUUUACCCGGGAUGAUAAUGACGGUACCGGGAGAAUAAGCUCCGGCUAACUCCGUG